This 375-nucleotide long non-coding RNA is filed under the name Brassica rapa (field mustard). Its description in RNAcentral is "long non-coding RNA (BRAP_LNC007738)". Lineage: Eukaryota; Viridiplantae; Streptophyta; Magnoliopsida; Brassicales; Brassicaceae. The record is from RNAcentral.
CCGGGUUCGAUUCCCACCUUCGCAUUGUUUUUUUAUUUUUUACGAAAAAUAAAUGAGAUGACAUGGCAAUUUCGGGUUCUCUGAUUGGUUGAUUUUUCUAUCCUAUGUGGACACCCUCUCCAUGGCUUAUAUCUCCCUUUUAGUAUAGUAUAGAUAUAUAAUAAAUUAUUAUUUAAAUAAAAAAUAAAUUUUUUUUUUAUGUUUUCGAAUUAUACUUUUUCAAAUUCAAACUUUUUUAUAACUUUUUUUUGAAUAUUUUUCGAUUUUUUCUCAAAAAAUUUUUUGAAAUCAAAAAUUAUGUUUGAAACUAUUUUUUAUAUUUUUAAGUAUUUAUUAGAAUUCUAAAUUUUAUAUUCCAAAAACCCUACCCCACCU